UACGGGGGGAGCAAGCGUUGUUCGGAUUUACUGGGCGUAAAGGGCGCGUAGGCGGUCGUGACAAGUCACUUGUGAAAUCUCCGGGCUUAACUCGGAACGGUCAAGUGAUACUGUCGGACUAGAGUACAGAAGGGGCAACUGGAAUUCUCGGUGUAGCGGUGAAAUGCGUAGAUAUCGGGAGGAACACCAGUGGCGAAGGCGACUUCCUGGCCUGUUCUUGACGCUGAGGCGCGAAAGCUAGGGUAGCAAACGGG
RNAcentral lists this ribosomal RNA (254 nucleotides) under uncultured bacterium. RNAcentral's name for it is "partial 16S ribosomal RNA". It matches the Rfam family "Bacterial small subunit ribosomal RNA", at positions 524 to 776 of the family's 1533-position model. The record is from RNAcentral.